Long non-coding RNA from Cryptotermes secundus, 404 nucleotides. RefSeq lists it as uncharacterized. The transcript is spliced from 3 exons. The record is from RefSeq and is a predicted model, not a curated record. NCBI's taxonomy places the organism in Eukaryota, Metazoa, Arthropoda, Insecta, Blattodea, Kalotermitidae.
CUUCGGCACUUAUCGUAUCGGGGGGAAUGUGUCUCGUAUUCCGGCGUCAAAGACUGCCGCUUGUACGUUGUAACUUUUUGACAACUUCCAUCAACUCAUUAUUGUUGAAGCGCAGUGAUCUCAGCGAGUUCUUCAGCUUGAAGUAAAACCUGCCCAGUGACACUUUGUCCACCACAAAUCUCACAUGAAGUUACCCUGGACUGAACCUGUGGCUCCAUGGUGAGAAGUAUGGUCCACAAUUUUAAGCUGAGAAGUUGGAGUACUAGGCAGUCUGUCAGGGGUACUGAAUGUGAGAGGCUGGCUCAAGUUGGAGACAAGAGGGACGGCUCAUCAGAAAAACACUUGUAGCAGGAGUUACAUUUGAACGGCUUGUCUGUCUGGUGACACCUGGAAUGACUCUGGAG